This 468-nucleotide long non-coding RNA is filed under the name Gallus gallus (chicken). Its description in RNAcentral is "lncRNA (ENSGALG00010007158.1)". The record is from RNAcentral. Lineage: Eukaryota; Metazoa; Chordata; Aves; Galliformes; Phasianidae.
AAAGGAGGAGGCGGUGGGAUGGAUCUGUUGCUCCUCCUUCCCAUUCCAUUCUCCCCCUUCAGCAGGCACUUUUCUGAGAACUGCUGCCUCGCUUUAUCUCAGGGCCAGGGCAAAAGGGUUUCUCUGGAUGACCUUGGACUUCUGCUGCGUCCCCUGACUGCUGGCUGGGUGCUUCUGACUGGAUAUGCUCAUCUUCCAGCAUGCUGCAACCCAGGUGUGCACCAGCCUCCUUUUGACCUUAGUUUCCAGCUGUGGCCUGUGCUGACCCACGUUGAGGAGAGCAGCCUUGAAAAGUGUUCCCAGGGUUGCUUCCUCACACAGUGCUUCUGCAAAGAGGCCCCGCGACCGGCUGCAGCUCUUGUGCAGGCACAGAAGGGCAGGGAGAGCCCAUGCGUCUGAAUGUGUGUCCGGCAGCAGAGCCAGAGAGUCCAUGGAGCAGCGAGGCUGAAACCAGCACCCUGAGGGAGG